Molecule: long non-coding RNA, 868 nt
Organism: Carya illinoinensis
Lineage: Eukaryota; Viridiplantae; Streptophyta; Magnoliopsida; Fagales; Juglandaceae
Exons: 3
Source: RefSeq, a predicted model, not a curated record
UUCACACCAGCCAAUAGGAUCGCAACAUGUAUGAGAGGUAUUUGUCUUCCAAUGGAUCCUACCUCACGAAACCAACUCUAUUCCUUUCCCUCACCUCUCUCCUCUCCUGAUUCUCUGCUCUUCCUCUCCCCUCUCGAUUCUCCGUUUCCGUCCCAAUUUUCUUCUUUUCCUCUCCCCUCCCAAUUCUCUUCUUUCUCUCCUCUUCCAUUUCUCUUCUCCCCUUUCUCUCUUCUCUCCCCCGCGCCCUAUGCCCUUUCUCCUCUCCAUCGAGUGAUUUCGAAAGAACCAACCCAUUAACCUCUGAGAGAAUACAUUAAUGAUACAGAAGAUUACAUCAUUAAUAUUCAGCAAUAUGGAAAGUAGUGAAUGAGACACCAUAUCUAGUAUACAAUCUAUGAGGGCAAAAGAUGAAGUGAUCUCCGGACGAAGACCACUAUAUUAUUGUGGCAUUCCUUCCAAAUUGCGGACGUCGGAUAAUCCAAAAAGUUUUGGUUGGUGGUUUUUGAAUUGACCAUAUUAGAAGGUUAAAAAACAGUGUGGAUUUUUCGAAUAAGUUGAUCGUGAAAUGAAACAACCGGAUUGUUGUAAGUAAACCUUGGAAUUAGGACAAUGAAGAAAUGAAAUGAUAGCAUAUGAAUGUACAAGAAUAGAACACGCAAAAUUCUAAUCAAUGAAAAAGAAGUACAAAAGCGUAUUGAUUGCGUUUUAGGUUUUAUUUAUUGAGUUAUUAGUUAGUCUAAACUUUUUUAAAGUCAAUGAUAAUGUAAAUCUUUUAAUGCUACAUUAAGAUGUACUUGGCUUAUUAAGUUGUAUUUAUUUUCUGAAUCAGUGCACAUGGGUUGUUGCAGGCUGCAUUCAAGUUGUAUUA